GCUCAAUGAAGGUGGUGCAUGGCUGUCGUCAGCUCGUGUCGUGAGAUGUUGGGUUAAGUCCCGCAACGAGCGCAACCCUUAUUCUAUGUUGCCAGCACGUAAUGGUGGGGACUCGUAGGAGACUGCCGGGGUCAACUCGGAGGAAGGUGGGGAUGACGUCAAGUCAUCAUGCCCCUUAUGUCUAGGGCUGCAAACACGCUACAAUGGCCGGUACAAAGGGCUGCGAAACCGCGAGGUUUAGCGAAUCCCAUAAAGCCGGUCUCAGUUCGGAUUGGAGGCUGCAACUCGCCUCCAUGAAGCUGGAGUUGCUAGUAAUCCCGGAUCAGCACGCCGGGGUGAAUACGUUCCCGGGCCUUGUACACACCGCCCGUCACACCACGAAAGUCGGUAACACCCGAAGCCGGUGGCCUAACCGUAAGGAAGGAGCCGUCGAAGGUGGGAUCG
This 444-nucleotide ribosomal RNA is filed under the name uncultured Actinomycetes bacterium. Its description in RNAcentral is "bacterial SSU rRNA". It matches the Rfam family "Bacterial small subunit ribosomal RNA", at positions 1027 to 1470 of the family's 1533-position model. Lineage: Bacteria; Bacillati; Actinomycetota; Actinomycetes. The record is from RNAcentral.